This 253-nucleotide ribosomal RNA is filed under the name uncultured bacterium. RNAcentral describes it as "partial 16S ribosomal RNA". It matches the Rfam family "Bacterial small subunit ribosomal RNA", at positions 524 to 776 of the family's 1533-position model. The record is from RNAcentral.
UACAGAGGGUGCUAGCGUUGUUCGGAAUCAUCGGGCGUAAAGGGCGUGUAGGCGGUUUGUUAAGUCAUGUGUGAAAUCCCUCGGCUCAACCGGGGAACGACGCAUGAAACUGGCAAGCUAGAGUACCAAAGAGGGGGGUGGAAUUCCCGGUGUAGCGGUGAAAUGCGUAGAUAUCAGGAGGAACACCGGUGGCGAAGGCGGCUUCCUGGACAAUUACUGACGCUGAGACGCGAAAGCGUGGGGAGCAAACAGG